Molecule: long non-coding RNA, 2433 nt
Organism: Rosa chinensis
Lineage: Eukaryota; Viridiplantae; Streptophyta; Magnoliopsida; Rosales; Rosaceae
Exons: 2
Source: RefSeq, a predicted model, not a curated record
CCUCCAGUGGCUUUUUUGUUUUUGGUUUCGUUAUGGUUUUCACCAGCUCCGGCGACUCACCGAUGGUGUGUCUGGACUGCGGCAGUGGCUUCAUCGAGGAGAUCGGCAACCCAACCCACUCCACCCGCGUGGAUUCGUGCCGCAGGGGGAGUUCCGUUGCUGCGAUGUACAUGAUCGGAGCCAACAACCGUUCCGGUUUCAAUCAUGAUCUCUGAUGAAAGCUUAGAGCUGAUUGCCAAGUCUUUCAAGAAUUUCAAGCUCCUUGUGCUUUUGUCUUGUGAGGGAUUCAGUACCGAUGGCCUUGCCUCCAUUGUGGCUAAUUGCAGGUUCAUCUCUUUGCUGCUAUAGUUAUCUAUUGCACUGUGUUUGCUGAUGUUCAUCACUCUUUCUCUCUCUCUCUGAAUGUGAUUGCGGCUGAUUUGAUUUGAUUUGAUUGGAGCUGGUUUGUGCUGAUUUAGUUGCUAGGGUUGUGGGAUUUAACUAUUGAUGUUUUACAUUUGUAGAAUUCAAAAGGUACUUAGACAUGCUUGAUUUGUAGAGAAAGUUAUUGCUCACCAUUAUUGGAACACCAUCAUAUUUCAACAGUACCUGGAAAGAAGAGAUUCAAUUACAAACCACUUUGUUAUAUAACAAUUCUGUGUUUCUUUUCUUUCUAUACAGUUAUGUUGUUUGUUGUAAAAUUGACACCGGAAAGUGCAUUUCUCAUUUGUUUUACUAAAGGUCAAGAUGAUAAUGUUGAAAGUAGUUGCUCGAACUAUUGGGCUUCAUCGCUUGUUCUGUUGAAUUUCUAUCCUUAUUUUAUCAAUUGCAUUACAGUAUGUUAUCUAACCUAUUCAAUGAAUGUCUUUUUCUCUUGAUAAACCAAAUGCUGUCACUGCAUGAAUUACUCGCUGUAGUAGUCCAGGCCUGUCAUGAAUCAUGAUAUGGUCAGUUAGCUACUCCUAUAUUUGAUCGGACCUCUGUAGAAGUUCAUUUUUUUCCUGUCCCUCCAUUAACUUAAGUCCAACUUCUAUUGGAAAUGAAGCAUUAUUCAAAUUACUAGUUUGACAGUCGACUCAAUUUAACUUGAGCAUUUGCUUAUGAGCAGGUUUGUCCUAAUGCUGUUGAACCACUUUUCAAACAAAUGGUGAACAAAUUUAUAAAUGAUCAUGCACAGCUAGAGGUGUUAAUCCAUAAGUGCUAUCUUCUUUUCUUUCAUUUUCCCCUUCGCAAGUCCCUUGUCUAUAAGGGAAACUUGUUUACAAAUGCUUUUGAUAACGACCUAUUUAUAUAAAUUUGGUUCUGGUAUUUUUUGUAUUUCAGUCAAGGUUGCCAAUCUAAUGUUAUUAAUCAUGUGUAAUACCAUAUUCAGUCAUUUUUAUUUCUACUUGAUGCAUUAUGCAAGGCUUUCUAAAUUAUAAUUUUGUUUCCUGCAACUAGUUAAGGAAGUGAGAUUUGCUGCAAGAUCUUGCAUUAUAUAAGAAAUCACAUGCAAAAGCAGUGUCAAUAGCAGCCCAGUACCAAUUUGUGAAAACACUACUAGUCAAGCCAAUUAUGUAGGAUUAAAUAGUUUUAUAAGUUAUGAAUUAUCAAUGAUAUGAAGUUUCCUAAUUGAACACCAUAAAUCUGUACAUGGGUGACAUAACUUGUUCUAAAAAGUGGGCUUUAAGAUGGUAAUAGGCCUUGGGGAAUCAUUGUUCUUUUUUUGGUUGUUUGGGUUUUUAAGUCAGUAGCCAUGGUUAGACAUGGUUUGCAUUUUGGAAAUUGGUACAGUAACAAGCUAUCAUAUAAAACAUAUACACCAAUUAAGCUCUUCUUUUCUUUUAGUUUUAUAUUUAGACUACUGAUAACGUCAUAGUUACAUGUUGAUGAUGUUGGCUUUUCUGCGUGGCUUGUUGGUUUGGUUCUUGCUGCUUGCAGCUCUUCAAUAAAGUUUUAAUUCAACCAAAAAUAGUUCGAAGAUGAUUGUGUUCUUAAAAGCUGGUCCUCAUCAUCUCAUCUUUAUUAAUUCAUGAACCCGAUCGAGGAUGAAUGGCAUUUUCCAGGAUAAGGAAAAGAAGGGUAGCUGCAAAAUCUUGGCCAGAAAUAACAAGCAGGUUCUUGGCCCAGAAAUGUUGAAAUCAGAAUUGCAACAUGGUGGGUUAAAAUGUGGGGGUACUCUGCAAGAGCGUGCUGCCAGGCUUUUUAUGCUUAAAUCUACCCCAUAGAGAAGAUUCCAAAGAAGUUGCUGGCAAGGAAAUGAGUACGCGAUGUGCUUCAUUUAACCCUUUAUAAAGCAAGUUUCUCCUUCAAUAUAUGAAUAGUGGCUGAAUUGUGUAACUAUAUAUUUGAAUCUAUAAGGUUCCUAGUUGUUGACUAUGUACUAUUAUGUACCAUUAUCCUUGGCGGAUAAUGUUGGUGGCUGUACACUUUUUUGUUUUGACGUAUAAUGAAUGCAAUGCAGCCAUUAAAACA